This 301-nucleotide ribosomal RNA is filed under the name uncultured bacterium. RNAcentral describes it as "partial 16S ribosomal RNA". It matches the Rfam family "Bacterial small subunit ribosomal RNA", at positions 509 to 807 of the family's 1533-position model. The record is from RNAcentral.
CAGUAGCCGCGGUAAUACGUAGGGUGCGAGCGUUAAUCGGAAUUACUGGGCGUAAAGCGUGCGUAGGCGGUUCGUUAAGUCUGUUGUGAAAGCCCCGGGCUCAACCUGGGAAUGGCAAUGGAUACUGGCGAGCUAGAGUGUGUCAGAGGAUGGUGGAAUUCCCGGUGUAGCGGUGAAAUGCGUAGAGAUCGGGAGGAACAUCAGUGGCGAAGGCGGCCAUCUGGGGCAACACUGACGCUGAGGCACGAAAGCGUGGGGAGCAAACAGGAUUAGAUACCCCAGUAGUCCCUGUCUCUUAUAC